GGGUUGUGAGGUUAAGCGACUAAGCGUACACGGUGGAUGCCCUGGCAGUCAGAGGCGAUGAAGGGCGUGCUAAUCUGCGAUAAGCGCCGGUAAGGUGAUAUGAACCGUUAUAACCGGCGAUACCCGAAUGGGGAAACCCAGUGUGAUUCGUCACACUAUCAUUAACUGAAUCCAUAGGUUAAUGAGGCGAACCGGGGGAACUGAAACAUCUAAGUACCCCGAGGAAAAGAAAUCAACCGAGAUUCCCCCAGUAGCGGCGAGCGAACGGGGAGGAGCCCAGAGCCUGAAUCAGCAUGUGUGUUAGUGGAAGCGUCUGGAAAGGCGCGCGAUACAGGGUGACAGCCCCGUACACAAAAGCGCAUGUGCUGUGAGCUCGAUGAGUAGGGCGGGACACGUGGUAUCCUGUCUGAAUAUGGGGGGACCAUCCUCCAAGGCUAAAUACUCCUGACUGACCGAUAGUGAACCAGUACCGUGAGGGAAAGGCGAAAAGAACCCCGGCGAGGGGAGUGAAAAAGAACCUGAAACCGUGUACGUACAAGCAGUGGGAGCACCCUUCGGGGUGUGACUGCGUACCUUUUGUAUAAUGGGUCAGCGACUUAUAUUCUGUAGCAAGGUUAACCGUAUAGGGGAGCCGGAGGGAAACCGAGUCUUAACCGGGCGUUAAGUUGCAGGGUAUAGACCCGAAACCCGGUGAUCUAGCCAUGGGCAGGUUGAAGGUUGGGUAACACUAACUGGAGGACCGAACCGACUAAUGUUGAAAAAUUAGCGGAUGACCUGUGGCUGGGGGUGAAAGGCCAAUCAAACCGGGAGAUAGCUGGUUCUCCCCGAAAGCUAUUUAGGUAGCGCCUCGUGAAUUCAUCUCCGGGGGUAGAGCACUGUUUCGGCUAGGGGGCCAUCCCGGCUUACCAACCCGAUGCAAACUGCGAAUACCGGAGAAUGUUAUCACGGGAGACACACGGCGGGUGCUAACGUCCGUCGUGAAGAGGGAAACAACCCAGACCGCCAGCUAAGGUCCCAAAGUCAUGGUUAAGUGGGAAACGAUGUGGGAAGGCCCAGACAGCCAGGAUGUUGGCUUAGAAGCAGCCAUCAUUUAAAGAAAGCGUAAUAGCUCACUGGUCGAGUCGGCCUGCGCGGAAGAUGUAACGGGGCUAAACCAUGCACCGAAGCUGCGGCAGCGAACGUAUCACCCAAGACAACUUUACGGAGUUGACGAUUGACGGAGCGAAGCGACGUCAAAGCGUUCAUUAAAGUCGAGUUGGCUUAGGGAUACGUUCGUUGGGUAGGGGAGCGUUCUGUAAGCCUGUGAAGGUGUGUCGUGAGGCAUGCUGGAGGUAUCAGAAGUGCGAAUGCUGACAUAAGUAACGAUAAAGCGGGUGAAAAGCCCGCUCGCCGGAAGACCAAGGGUUCCUGUCCAACGUUAAUCGGGGCAGGGUGAGUCGACCCCUAAGGCGAGGCCGAAAGGCGUAGUCGAUGGGAAACGGGUUAAUAUUCCCGUACUUGGUGUUACUGCGAAGGGGGGACGGAGAAGGCUAUGUUGGCCGGGCGACGGUUGUCCCGGUUUAAGGGUGUAGGUGUGUGUUCCAGGUAAAUCCGGUUCACUUUAACACUGAGGCGUGACGACGAGGCACUACGGUGCUGAAGCAACAAAUGCCCUGCUUCCAGGAAAAGCCUCUAAGCAUCAGGUAACACGAAAUCGUACCCCAAACCGACACAGGUGGUCAGGUAGAGAAUACCAAGGCGCUUGAGAGAACUCGGGUGAAGGAACUAGGCAAAAUGGUGCCGUAACUUCGGGAGAAGGCACGCUGACACGUAGGUGAAGUGAUUUACUCAUGGAGCUGAAGUCAGUCGAAGAUACCAGCUGGCUGCAACUGUUUAUUAAAAACACAGCACUGUGCAAACACGAAAGUGGACGUAUACGGUGUGACGCCUGCCCGGUGCCGGAAGGUUAAUUGAUGGGGUCAGCGUAAGCGAAGCUCCUGAUCGAAGCCCCGGUAAACGGCGGCCGUAACUAUAACGGUCCUAAGGUAGCGAAAUUCCUUGUCGGGUAAGUUCCGACCUGCACGAAUGGCGUAAUGAUGGCCAGGCUGUCUCCACCCGAGACUCAGUGAAAUUGAACUCGCUGUGAAGAUGCAGUGUACCCGCGGCAAGACGGAAAGACCCCGUGAACCUUUACUAUAGCUUGACACUGAACAUUGAGCCUUGAUGUGUAGGAUAGGUGGGAGGCUUUGAAGUGUGGACGCCAGUCUGCAUGGAGCCGACCUUGAAAUACCACCCUUUAAUGUUUGAUGUUCUAACGUGGACCCGUAAUCCGGGUUGCGGACAGUGUCUGGUGGGUAGUUUGACUGGGGCGGUCUCCUCCUAAAGAGUAACGGAGGAGCACGAAGGUUGGCUAAUCCUGGUCGGACAUCAGGAGGUUAGUGCAAUGGCAUAAGCCAGCUUGACUGCGAGCGUGACGGCGCGAGCAGGUGCGAAAGCAGGUCAUAGUGAUCCGGUGGUUCUGAAUGGAAGGGCCAUCGCUCAACGGAUAAAAGGUACUCCGGGGAUAACAGGCUGAUACCGCCCAAGAGUUCAUAUCGACGGCGGUGUUUGGCACCUCGAUGUCGGCUCAUCACAUCCUGGGGCUGAAGUAGGUCCCAAGGGUAUGGCUGUUCGCCAUUUAAAGUGGUACGCGAGCUGGGUUUAGAACGUCGUGAGACAGUUCGGUCCCUAUCUGCCGUGGGCGCUGGAGAACUGAGGGGGGCUGCUCCUAGUACGAGAGGACCGGAGUGGACGCAUCACUGGUGUUCGGGUUGUCAUGCCAAUGGCACUGCCCGGUAGCUAAAUGCGGAAGAGAUAAGUGCUGAAAGCAUCUAAGCACGAAACUUGCCCCGAGAUGAGUUCUCCCUGAGACUUAGAGUCUCCUGAAGGAACGUUGAAGACGACGACGUUGAUAGGCCGGGUGUGUAAGCGCAGCGAUGCGUUGAGCUAACCGGUACUAAUGAACCGUGAGGCUUAACCUUACAACGCCGAAG
This 3011-nucleotide ribosomal RNA is filed under the name Salmonella enterica. RNAcentral's name for it is "23S ribosomal RNA". It matches the Rfam family "Bacterial large subunit ribosomal RNA". Lineage: Bacteria; Pseudomonadati; Pseudomonadota; Gammaproteobacteria; Enterobacterales; Enterobacteriaceae. The record is from RNAcentral.